Molecule: ribosomal RNA, 2920 nt
Filed under: Salmonella enterica subsp. enterica serovar Weltevreden
Lineage: Bacteria; Pseudomonadati; Pseudomonadota; Gammaproteobacteria; Enterobacterales; Enterobacteriaceae
Description: bacterial LSU rRNA
Rfam family: Bacterial large subunit ribosomal RNA
Source: RNAcentral
UUAAGCGACUAAGCGUACACGGUGGAUGCCCUGGCAGUCAGAGGCGAUGAAGGGCGUGCUAAUCUGCGAUAAGCGCCGGUAAGGUGAUAUGAACCGUUAUAACCGGCGAUACCCGAAUGGGGAAACCCAGUGUGACUCGUCACACUAUCAUUAACUGAAUCCAUAGGUUAAUGAGGCGAACCGGGGGAACUGAAACAUCUAAGUACCCCGAGGAAAAGAAAUCAACCGAGAUUCCCCCAGUAGCGGCGAGCGAACGGGGAGGAGCCCAGAGCCUGAAUCAGCAUGUGUGUUAGUGGAAGCGUCUGGAAAGGCGCGCGAUACAGGGUGACAGCCCCGUACACAAAAGCGCAUGUGCUGUGAGCUCGAUGAGUAGGGCGGGACACGUGGUAUCCUGUCUGAAUAUGGGGGGACCAUCCUCCAAGGCUAAAUACUCCUGACUGACCGAUAGUGAACCAGUACCGUGAGGGAAAGGCGAAAAGAACCCCGGCGAGGGGAGUGAAAAAGAACCUGAAACCGUGUACGUACAAGCAGUGGGAGCCCCACCACCAAAGCNGCUUUGGGGUGGGGUGACUGCGUACCUUUUGUAUAAUGGGUCAGCGACUUAUAUUCUGUAGCAAGGUUAACCGAAUAGGGGAGCCGGAGGGAAACCGAGUCUUAAUUGGGCGUUAAGUUGCAGGGUAUAGACCCGAAACCCGGUGAUCUAGCCAUGGGCAGGUUGAAGGUUGGGUAACACUAACUGGAGGACCGAACCGACUAAUGUUGAAAAAUUAGCGGAUGACCUGUGGCUGGGGGUGAAAGGCCAAUCAAACCGGGAGAUAGCUGGUUCUCCCCGAAAGCUAUUUAGGUAGCGCCUCGUGAAUUCAUCUCCGGGGGUAGAGCACUGUUUCGGCUAGGGGGCCAUCCCGGCUUACCAACCCGAUGCAAACUGCGAAUACCGGAGAAUGUUAUCACGGGAGACACACGGCGGGUGCUAACGUCCGUCGUGAAGAGGGAAACAACCCAGACCGCCAGCUAAGGUCCCAAAGUCAUGGUUAAGUGGGAAACGAUGUGGGAAGGCCCAGACAGCCAGGAUGUUGGCUUAGAAGCAGCCAUCAUUUAAAGAAAGCGUAAUAGCUCACUGGUCGAGUCGGCCUGCGCGGAAGAUGUAACGGGGCUAAACCAUGCACCGAAGCUGCGGCAGCGACGCUUAUGCGUUGUUGGGUAGGGGAGCGUUCUGUAAGCCUGUGAAGGUGGCCUGUGAGGGUUGCUGGAGGUAUCAGAAGUGCGAAUGCUGACAUAAGUAACGAUAAAGCGGGUGAAAAGCCCGCUCGCCGGAAGACCAAGGGUUCCUGUCCAACGUUAAUCGGGGCAGGGUGAGUCGACCCCUAAGGCGAGGCCGAAAGGCGUAGUCGAUGGGAAACGGGUUAAUAUUCCCGUACUUGGUGUUACUGCGAAGGGGGGACGGAGAAGGCUAUGUUGGCCGGGCGACGGUUGUCCCGGUUUAAGCGUGUAGGUGUGUGUUCCAGGUAAAUCCGGUUCACUUUAACACUGAGGCGUGACGACGAGGCACUACGGUGCUGAAGCAACAAAUGCCCUGCUUCCAGGAAAAGCCUCUAAGCAUCAGGUAACAUCAAAUCGUACCCCAAACCGACACAGGUGGUCAGGUAGAGAAUACCAAGGCGCUUGAGAGAACUCGGGUGAAGGAACUAGGCAAAAUGGUGCCGUAACUUCGGGAGAAGGCACGCUGACACGUAGGUGAAGUGAUUUACUCAUGGAGCUGAAGUCAGUCGAAGAUACCAGCUGGCUGCAACUGUUUAUUAAAAACACAGCACUGUGCAAACACGAAAGUGGACGUAUACGGUGUGACGCCUGCCCGGUGCCGGAAGGUUAAUUGAUGGGGUCAGCGCAAGCGAAGCUCCUGAUCGAAGCCCCGGUAAACGGCGGCCGUAACUAUAACGGUCCUAAGGUAGCGAAAUUCCUUGUCGGGUAAGUUCCGACCUGCACGAAUGGCGUAAUGAUGGCCAGGCUGUCUCCACCCGAGACUCAGUGAAAUUGAACUCGCUGUGAAGAUGCAGUGUACCCGCGGCAAGACGGAAAGACCCCGUGAACCUUUACUAUAGCUUGACACUGAACAUUGAGCCUUGAUGUGUAGGAUAGGUGGGAGGCUUUGAAGUGUGGACGCCAGUCUGCAUGGAGCCGACCUUGAAAUACCACCCUUUAAUGUUUGAUGUUCUAACGUGGACCCGUAAUCCGGGUUGCGGACAGUGUCUGGUGGGUAGUUUGACUGGGGCGGUCUCCUCCUAAAGAGUAACGGAGGAGCACGAAGGUUGGCUAAUCCUGGUCGGACAUCAGGAGGUUAGUGCAAUGGCAUAAGCCAGCUUGACUGCGAGCGUGACGGCGCGAGCAGGUGCGAAAGCAGGUCAUAGUGAUCCGGUGGUUCUGAAUGGAAGGGCCAUCGCUCAACGGAUAAAAGGUACUCCGGGGAUAACAGGCUGAUACCGCCCAAGAGUUCAUAUCGACGGCGGUGUUUGGCACCUCGAUGUCGGCUCAUCACAUCCUGGGGCUGAAGUAGGUCCCAAGGGUAUGGCUGUUCGCCAUUUAAAGUGGUACGCGAGCUGGGUUUAGAACGUCGUGAGACAGUUCGGUCCCUAUCUGCCGUGGGCGCUGGAGAACUGAGGGGGGCUGCUCCUAGUACGAGAGGACCGGAGUGGACGCAUCACUGGUGUUCGGGUUGUCAUGCCAAUGGCACUGCCCGGUAGCUAAAUGCGGAAGAGAUAAGUGCUGAAAGCAUCUAAGCACGAAACUUGCCCCGAGAUGAGUUCUCCCUGAGACUUAGAGUCUCCUGAAGGAACGUUGAAGACGACGACGUUGAUAGGCCGGGUGUGUAAGCGCAGCGAUGCGUUGAGCUAACCGGUACUAAUGAACCGUGAGGCUUAACCUU